This 72-nucleotide transfer RNA is filed under the name Toxocara canis (dog roundworm). It matches the Rfam family "tRNA". Rfam says of the family: Transfer RNA (tRNA) molecules are approximately 80 nucleotides in length. Their secondary structure includes four short double-helical elements and three loops (D, anti-codon, and T loops). Further hydrogen bonds mediate the characteristic L-shaped molecular structure. tRNAs have two regions of fundamental functional importance: the anti-codon, which is responsible for specific mRNA codon recognition, and the 3' end, to which the tRNAs corresponding amino acid is attached (by aminoacyl-tRNA synthetases). tRNAs cope with the degeneracy of the genetic code in two manners: having more than one tRNA (with a specific anti-codon) for a particular amino acid; and 'wobble' base-pairing, i.e. permitting non-standard base-pairing at the 3rd anti-codon position. Lineage: Eukaryota; Metazoa; Nematoda; Chromadorea; Rhabditida; Toxocaridae. The record is from Rfam by way of RNAcentral.
AUCGCAGUAGCUCAGUGGUACAGCUCCCGCUUCGUACGCGGGAAGACCUGAUUUCGAUUCCCGGCUGCUUUC